RNAcentral lists this small RNA (125 nucleotides) under Yersinia kristensenii. RNAcentral describes it as "RtT sRNA". It matches the Rfam family "RtT RNA". Rfam says of the family: This family represents a bacterial cis-regulatory element known as RtT RNA. The exact function of RtT is unknown although it is thought that it may be involved in changing the cellular response in relation to amino acid starvation. Lineage: Bacteria; Pseudomonadati; Pseudomonadota; Gammaproteobacteria; Enterobacterales; Yersiniaceae. The record is from RNAcentral.
UAUUACACCGUCCUGUGCGGGUGAGACCCUGCGUUCAGGUUCGAGCCGAGCGAAGCGAGACAACAACGCACAACGUUGACCCGAAGGGCGAGUCCAGAGGACGAGUCAUCCCGCACGACCCACCA